This 372-nucleotide ribosomal RNA is filed under the name uncultured bacterium. RNAcentral describes it as "bacterial SSU rRNA". It matches the Rfam family "Bacterial small subunit ribosomal RNA", at positions 525 to 896 of the family's 1533-position model. The record is from RNAcentral.
ACGUAGGUGGCAAGCGUUGUUCGGAAUAACUGGGCGUAAAGGAUGCGUAGGCGGUUGGAUAAGUUAUGUGUUAAAUAUAUAGGCUUAACCUGUAGAAAGCACAUAAAACUGUUUAACUAGAGUGCAGGAGAGGUAAGUGGAAUUCCUAGUGUAGCGGUGAAAUGCGUAGAGAUUAGGAAGAACACCAGUGGCGAAGGCGACUUACUGGACUGUAACUGACGCUGAGGCAUGAGAGCAUGGGGAGCAAACAGGAUUAGAUACCCUGGUAGUCCAUGCUGUAAACGAUGGGUACUAGGUGUGGGUUGUGAAGAACAAUCUGUGCCGUCGCAAACGCAAUAAGUACCCCGCCUGGGGAGUACGAUCGCAAGAUUA